This 267-nucleotide unclassified non-coding RNA is filed under the name Hevea brasiliensis (rubber tree). The record is from RNAcentral. Lineage: Eukaryota; Viridiplantae; Streptophyta; Magnoliopsida; Malpighiales; Euphorbiaceae.
UUUGGUUAAAAAGAAUAAUUUGGAGUGCUUGUGCAAACACACACAUAUUUAUAGGUCCUCAAAUAUAUUAAUGUUUCAGGCUGUCCUAUGUUCAUAAUAUUAUCUAUGCUUCUAUUAGUUUAUUUAUGGCAACUAUACUUAUUUGAAUGGUCAUACUUGUAAGUUUGCAAGUGAAUAAGGUUCUAUUAGGAUUUCAAUGUUCAUUUAACAUCAAUAUUUGGUCCUUUUUUUCUUGUAGGGGUUUGAUGCAUGUCUGUAUGAUCGAAG